GUGUUGGGCGCCUGUAGGCACAUACCUCCUCCUAGUCCUGAUUGACCGUUCCCUGGUUGAAGACACAGGGGUCGACCUCGGUGCCGUCCUCACCUACACAGCCGGUGUCGGCUUCCUCAACAGCCUCAUCAACCCUCUAGUGUACGCCAUCAAGAUCCCUGCGGUAGGCCGGGUGUUCAGGAGAGUGUGUUGCUGUUGGUGCUGGUCUGAUCCUACCCCUUCCGCCAGACACAGUGUGUACACCCUGGCUAAUGUGGGGCUGGUACCCUUGACUCCGGACGACGCAAGGUGAUGUACGCCAGACACCGGGUGAUGUACGCCAUACACCCUGUGAUGUACGCCAGACACCGGGUGAUGUACGCCAUACACCCGGUGAUGUAUUCCAGACACUGGGUCCGGGUGAUUUACGUCAGACACCUGGUGAUGUACGCCAGACACCCGGUGAUGUAUUCCAGACACUGGGUCCGGGUGAUGUACGACAGACACCGCUGAUGUACGACAAACACCCGGUGAUGUAUUCCAAACACUGGGUCCGGGUGAUGUACGACAGACACCUGUU
Molecule: long non-coding RNA, 559 nt
Organism: Haliotis rubra (blacklip abalone)
Lineage: Eukaryota; Metazoa; Mollusca; Gastropoda; Lepetellida; Haliotidae
Exons: 3
Source: RefSeq, a predicted model, not a curated record